This 625-nucleotide ribosomal RNA is filed under the name uncultured bacterium. Its description in RNAcentral is "bacterial SSU rRNA". It matches the Rfam family "Bacterial small subunit ribosomal RNA", at positions 338 to 954 of the family's 1533-position model. The record is from RNAcentral.
CCUACGGGAGGCAGCAGUGGGGAAUUUUGGACAAUGGGCGCAAGCCUGAUCCAGCAAUGCCGCGUGCAGGAUGAAGGCCUUCGGGUUGUAAACUGCUUUUGUACGGAACGAAACGGCGAGCUCUAAUAAAGUUCGCUAAUGACGGUACCGUAAGAAUAAGCACCGGCUAACUACGUGCCAGCAGCCGCGGUAAUACGUAGGGUGCAAGCGUUAAUCGGAAUUACUGGGCGUAAAGCGUGCGCAGGCGGUGAUGUAAGACAGAUGUGAAAUCCCCGGGCUCAACCUGGGACCUGCAUUUGUGACUGCAUCGCUAGAGUACGGUAGAGGGGGAUGGAAUUCCGCGUGUAGCAGUGAAAUGCGUAGAUAUGCGGAGGAACACCGAUGGCGAAGGCAAUCCCCUGGACCUGUACUGACGCUCAUGCACGAAAGCGUGGGGAGCAAACAGGAUUAGAUACCCUGGUAGUCCACGCCCUAAACGAUGUCAACUGGUUGUUGGGUCUUCACUGACUCAGUAACGAAGCUAACGCGUGAAGUUGACCGCCUGGGGAGUACGGCCGCAAGGUUGAAACUCAAAGUAGUAGUCGACGNGAGAGACGACGACGACGGACGACGAGGAGGGAGGAGG